This 97-nucleotide non-coding RNA is filed under the name Streptomyces mangrovisoli. Its description in RNAcentral is "Glycine sequence". It matches the Rfam family "Glycine riboswitch aptamer". Rfam says of the family: This family represents the bacterial glycine riboswitch. Lineage: Bacteria; Bacillati; Actinomycetota; Actinomycetes; Kitasatosporales; Streptomycetaceae. The record is from Rfam by way of RNAcentral.
UGACCCCGCGCGGGAGAGUCCUCCAGGAAUGAUCCGGAGGCGCCGAAGGAGCAAAUCCUCCCCGGAAUCUCUCAGGCACACGUACCGCACGGACGAG